UGGGUUAGUGGCGGACGGGUGAGUAACGCGUGGGCAACCUGCCUUACACAGGGGGAUAACACUUAGAAAUAGGUGCUAAAACCGCAUAAGCGCACAGCUUCGCAUGAAGCGGUGUGAAAAACUCCGGUGGUGUAAGAUGGACCCGCGUCUGAUUAGCUUGUUGGCGGGGUAACGGCCCACCAAGGCGACGAUCAGUAGCCGGCCUGAGAGGGCGGACGGCCACAUUGGGACUGAGACACGGCCCAGACUCCUACGGAAGGCAGCAG
RNAcentral lists this ribosomal RNA (266 nucleotides) under uncultured bacterium. RNAcentral's name for it is "partial 16S ribosomal RNA". It matches the Rfam family "Bacterial small subunit ribosomal RNA", at positions 88 to 354 of the family's 1533-position model. The record is from RNAcentral.